AUUGAACGCUGGCGGCAUGCCUUACACAUGCAAGUCGAACGGCAGCACGGGAGCAAUCCUGGUGGCGAGUGGCGAACGGGUGAGUAAUAUAUCGGAACGUGCCCAGUCGUGGGGGAUAACGUAGCGAAAGCUACGCUAAUACCGCAUACGAUCUAUGGAUGAAAGCGGGGGAUCGCAAGACCUCGCGCGAUUGGAGCGGCCGAUAUCAGAUUAGGUAGUUGGUGAGGUAAAGGCUCACCAAGCCGACGAUCUGUAGCUGGUCUGAGAGGACGACCAGCCACACUGGGACUGAGACACGGCCCAGACUCCUACGGGAGGCAGCAGUGGGGAAUAUUGGACAAUGGGCGAAAGCCUGAUCCAGCCAUGCCGCGUGUGUGAAGAAGGUCUUCGGAUUGUAAAGCACUUUAAGUUGGGAGGAAGGGUAGUAACCUAAUACGUUG
Molecule: ribosomal RNA, 440 nt
Filed under: uncultured bacterium
Lineage: Bacteria
Description: bacterial SSU rRNA
Rfam family: Bacterial small subunit ribosomal RNA
Source: RNAcentral